Molecule: ribosomal RNA, 507 nt
Filed under: uncultured bacterium
Lineage: Bacteria
Description: bacterial SSU rRNA
Rfam family: Bacterial small subunit ribosomal RNA
Source: RNAcentral
GGCUCAGAACGAACGCUGGCGGCGCGCUUAAGCAUGCAAGUCGAACGGCAAGAGGUAGCAAUACCUCCUAGAGUGGCGGACUGGUGAGUAACACGUGGGUGACAUACCCUUCAGAUGGGGAUAGCUAUUAGAAAUAGUAGAUAAUACCGAAUACGAGCACAGGGGUUAGAGAUCUGUGAGGAAAGGAGCUAAGGCUCCGCUGAAGGAAUGGCCUGCGGCCCAUUAGCUAGUUGGUGAGGUAAGAGCCCACCAAGGCGAUGAUGGGUAUCCGGCCUUAGAGGGUGAACGGACACAUUGGGACUGAGAUACGGCCCAGACUCCUACGGGAGGCAGCAGCUAAGAAUAUUCCGCAAUGGACGAAAGUCUGACGGAGCGACGCCGCGUGGAUGAAGAAGGCCGGAAGGUUGUAAAAUCCUUUUGAAACUGAAGAAUAAGCGUUGUAGGGAAUGACAGCGUGGUGACAGUAGGUUUUGAAUAAGCAACGGCUAAUUACGUGCCAGCAGCCGC